GACGAACGCUGGCGGCGUGCUUAACACAUGCAAGUCGAACGAAGAGCGAUGGAAGCUUGCUUCUAUCAAUCUUAGUGGCGAACGGGUGAGUAACGCGUAAUCAACCUGCCCUUCAGAGGGGGACAACAGUUGGAAACGACUGCUAAUACCGCAUACGAUCCAAUCUCGGCAUCGGGACUGGAUGAAAGGUGGCCUCUAUUUAUAAGCUAUCACUGAAGGAGGGGAUUGCGGCUGAUUAGCUAGUUGGAGGGGGAACGGCCCACCAAGGCGAUGAUCAGUAGCCGGUCUGAGAGGAUGAACGGCCACAUUGGGACUGAGACACGGCCCAGACUCCUACGGGAGGCAGCAGUGGGGAAUCUUCCGCAAUGGACGAAAGUCUGACGGAGCAACGCCGCGUGAGUGAUGACGGCCUUCGGGUUGUAAAGCUCUGUUAAUCGGGACGAAUGGUUCUUGUGCGAAUAGGGCGAGGAUUUGACGGUACCGGAAGAGAAAGCCACGGCUAACUACGUG
RNAcentral lists this ribosomal RNA (510 nucleotides) under uncultured bacterium. Its description in RNAcentral is "partial 16S ribosomal RNA". It matches the Rfam family "Bacterial small subunit ribosomal RNA", at positions 28 to 507 of the family's 1533-position model. The record is from RNAcentral.